CCUACGGGUGGCAGCAGUCGAGAAUCAUUCACAAUGGGGGAAACUCUGAUGGUGCGACGCCGCGUGGGUGAAUGAAGGUCUUCGGUUUGUAAACCCCUGUCAUGUGGGAGCAUAUUAAAACGAUAGUACCACAAGAGGAAGAGACGGCUAACUCUGUGCCAGCAGCCGCGGUAAUACAGAGGUCUCAAGCGUUGUUCGGAAUCACUGGGGGUAAGGCGUGCGUAGGCUGUUUCGUAAGUCGUGUGUGAAAGGCGAGGGCACAACCCGCGGACGGCACAUGAGACUGCGAGACUAGAGUAAAGGAGGGGGUACCGGAAUUCUCGGUGUAGCAGUGAAAUGCGUAGAUA
This 347-nucleotide ribosomal RNA is filed under the name uncultured bacterium. RNAcentral's name for it is "partial 16S ribosomal RNA". It matches the Rfam family "Bacterial small subunit ribosomal RNA", at positions 338 to 696 of the family's 1533-position model. The record is from RNAcentral.